UCCGAUGUGGUCUAGUGGCUAGGAUUCCUGGUUUUCACCCAGGCGGCCCGGGUUCAAUUCCCGGCAUCGGAG
Tropilaelaps mercedesae is the source of this 72-nucleotide transfer RNA. It matches the Rfam family "tRNA". From Rfam's summary of the family: Transfer RNA (tRNA) molecules are approximately 80 nucleotides in length. Their secondary structure includes four short double-helical elements and three loops (D, anti-codon, and T loops). Further hydrogen bonds mediate the characteristic L-shaped molecular structure. tRNAs have two regions of fundamental functional importance: the anti-codon, which is responsible for specific mRNA codon recognition, and the 3' end, to which the tRNAs corresponding amino acid is attached (by aminoacyl-tRNA synthetases). tRNAs cope with the degeneracy of the genetic code in two manners: having more than one tRNA (with a specific anti-codon) for a particular amino acid; and 'wobble' base-pairing, i.e. permitting non-standard base-pairing at the 3rd anti-codon position. The record is from Rfam. NCBI's taxonomy places the organism in Eukaryota, Metazoa, Arthropoda, Arachnida, Mesostigmata, Laelapidae.